UGAAAGUCUGUCAGUCCCUAAACACUCCCGCUUCUAAGUGCUCGGCAAUGCUUGAAUCCCCAAGCUAACCAAAACCUUGUAUAGGAUAGGCUCUGGCUUUGUUCUGGAAGACUGCGCCUGUGUGAAAAUGGUUAUAGAGCACCAACCACUUCAGUAUUUUAACUCUGAUCAGCAACAGAUCACUUUCAAGCACUUCAUAUCUGACCCUGAUGCUUCAGUCACUGACAUAUGAGGCUACAGUGAGAAGACUGCUGUCUAUGAACCAGGAAGUGGGCUCCCACCGGACACUGAAUCUGCCAGCACCUUGAUCUUGGACUUCCUAGCCUUCAGAACAACUAACAUUUCAUCCAUUCUUCCAUGAGCCUGUCAAUCUGUUCUUGACCAAGAAGAUAAUACUGCAAAGGACAAGAUCUAAAUGGAGCCAAAGCAAUCAAGCUCUAAAAUCUGUGAAUAGACUUGUUAAAUAUAAGCAGUUUCAGAAAUGUAACAUUUAGCCACUGUUAAUAAUCCAAAACAUGAACUUACUUGACACCAGGGCAAAGAAGAGCCCUUCUGGAUGAAGUCCAAUAACGCUGUUUCAAGAUGCUGAACAUCUGGUUGGUCACAUUGGAAUUCAGCCUUAUUUUUGCCACCUUCUUUAUGGUCUGUCUUCCCUUUGUGACAUGGGCACCUGCACUAUCUAAACAUCCAUUACCGUGCGACUGAUGGAAGGCCCAAGUGCUCAGUGUUUUUAUCGGAGUGCUUUAACAGUUCCUCUAAGGAUAAAGCCGAGA
This is a long non-coding RNA of Balaenoptera acutorostrata (minke whale), 773 nucleotides long. RefSeq lists it as uncharacterized. The record is from RefSeq and is a predicted model, not a curated record. The transcript is spliced from 4 exons. NCBI's taxonomy places the organism in Eukaryota, Metazoa, Chordata, Mammalia, Artiodactyla, Balaenopteridae.